UAAUAUAAAUCGAAAGGAAUGAUGGGUGGACAAUGGAUAACUAAUCUUAUUUUUUAGAAUUUGAAAUUUUAUAUUUCGAAUGAUAAUAAUUUAGGAUUAGUCUACCCAUUUUUCUACCAUCAUUAGAGCUAUCAAGCGCGGUAGCUUAUUUCAGUACGGUAAAAUGCGGCUAAUCCUUCCAAAUGAAUUGGGAGGAUUUUUUA
RNAcentral lists this small RNA (203 nucleotides) under Peribacillus loiseleuriae. RNAcentral's name for it is "Bacillus sp. FJAT-27997 Bacillus sRNA ncr1575". It matches the Rfam family "Bacillus sRNA ncr1575". The record is from Rfam by way of RNAcentral. Lineage: Bacteria; Bacillati; Bacillota; Bacilli; Caryophanales; Bacillaceae.